CGCACUCUUCGGAGUGAGUGGCAGACGGGUGAGUAACGCGUGGAAACGUGCCUUUCUCUACGGAAUAGCCCUUGGAAACGAGGUGUAAUACCGUAUACGCCCUUAGGGGGAAAGAUUUAUCGGAGAAAGAUCGGUCCGCGUUAGAUUAGUUUGUUGGUGGGGUAAUGGCCUACCAAGACUACGAUCUAUAGCUGAUUUGAGAGGAUGAUCAGCCACACUGGAACUGAGACACGGUCCAGACUCCUACGGGAGGCAGCAGUGGGGAAUCUUGGACAAUGGGGGAAACCCUGAUCCAGCCAUGCCGCGUGAAUGAUGAAGGCCUUAGGGUUGUAAAAUUCUUUCACCGGGGAAGAUAAUGACGGUACCCGGAGAAGAAGCUCCGGCUAACUUCGUGCCAGCAGCCGCGGUAAUACGAAGGGAGCUAGCGUUGUUCGGAAUUACUGGGCGUAAAGCGCACGUAGGCGGAUUAGUAAGUAAGAGGUGAAAUCCCAGGGCUCAACCCUGGAACUGCCUUUUAAACUGCUAGUCUAGAGGAUAGGAGAGGUCAGUGGAAUACCGAGUGUAGAGGUGAAAUUCGUAGAUAUUCGGUGGAACACCAGUGGCGAAGGCGACUG
This 614-nucleotide ribosomal RNA is filed under the name uncultured bacterium. RNAcentral's name for it is "bacterial SSU rRNA". It matches the Rfam family "Bacterial small subunit ribosomal RNA", at positions 67 to 727 of the family's 1533-position model. The record is from RNAcentral.